RNAcentral lists this long non-coding RNA (14917 nucleotides) under Manihot esculenta (cassava). Its description in RNAcentral is "long non-coding RNA (MESC_LNC003831)". Lineage: Eukaryota; Viridiplantae; Streptophyta; Magnoliopsida; Malpighiales; Euphorbiaceae. The record is from RNAcentral.
UCCACACAUCAUCUAGAACAAGCAGAUAUUUCUUCCCACUAAUAAUUUUUUCCAGUCUAGACUUCAAUGCUUCUAACCCAAGAUCUUCCGAUUUAUUCCCUGUUGCAGACUCUAGAAUCUUUCCAACAGUCAUUUUCACAUCAAAAGGUUCUGAAACACACACCCAUAUUCUUGGCUCAAAUGAAUUCUUAAUCAUUUCAUCAUUCAAUAUGAUUUGAGCAAGAGUGGUCUUCCCUAAUCCUCCAAUUCCAACAAUUGAGAGGACUGAAACACACUCUUCACCAUUGGAAGACAAUACAAGUUGUGUAAUUGCCUUUUUGUCACCCUCUCUCCCAAUAACCACUUCAGGUAAAGAGGACGUAGUUUGAUCCCUCCAUACAAUACUCUCCUGAUCAGUACGAACCUCUAAAUUAAAUUUUCUGUCAGCUUCAAUAUCAGCUAGCCUCUCCCUAAUCGCCUUAACUUUAUGACCCAUUUUAAAACCAUAAACAAGUUUAUUUGAAGACGAAAAGAAGAGACUUACCUCCUUUGUCAUUCUAUUUCCAGUCAUCACUCGGCGCCUUAGGGCUUCUGUGGCGAAGUCAUCUACCAAAUCAUCAGCAUCAUAAACCACUUCUUCUAGCCUCUCAAGCCAGCAUUUCACUUGACGGUUAAGUUUCUGCUGCUCCUCAGCAUCCAGAAGAACGUUGCGAAUACUAGAAACUGUGGCCUCAAGUUUCUUAAGCUCACCUUUGACGCCCCACCACAAUCCGAUCUCAUGAAGGGCUCGAGAACCCAGCUUGGUAAUGAUAUCUCCGACAACGUUAGAGAGAACUCCGUCGGNNNNNNNNNNNNNNNNNNNNNNNNNNNNNNNNNNNNNNNNNNNNNNNNNUUUAAAUAAAAAAAAAAAAAAAGAAGUGGAGGAAAAAGCGGUCCGUUAACUUUGGACGGCGCUGGUUUGCUUUAAUUUAAAAAGUAAAAUAUAUUAAUAAAUUUAUAUAUAGAAUGAAAGUUAGUUAUUUUUUAUAAAAUAAUUUUAUUUUUUAUUAAAUAAAUUUUAUGAGUGAUUUAAAUCGUUAAAAAAUAUAAAAUAUAUUUUUGAUGUUACUAAAAUUUUGUUAUUGAAAUGAAAGUAUUUUUAUAUAUUUUGUGAUGAUGUAUAAAGUUACAUUAGGUAUAAUAUGAUGUAUAGUAAAUUUAUUAUGAGUUUUAAUGACUUUAAAUCGAUUUAAAUUUUAAUAUUGAUAGCGGUUCAAUUUCUGAAUUAUUAUCGAAAUGUAUAGCAGGAGCUCAAGAGUAUCCUGUUGCAUAUUAUAGAUCCAUCGAUAUAAAAAAUAUGGCAUAUGCACACAUUCAGGAUUUAGAGAUUCCUUCAGCUAGUGGCAGAUAUUGUUUAAUUAAAAGAGAUGUCCACUUCUCUGAGGUUUUGAAGAUUGUGUCAGCAACAUUAUCCUACAUUGCACCUUCCAAAAAACUAUGGUUUUUUUUAUAUUUUUGCAUGCUCAUGUUGGACCAGCUAUAUGAAUGGCUAAGAUAUAUAAUUAUUUGGAUAACUGAGAAAUAGUUAUUUUGAAUGAUUAAUUUGAUCAUGGAAUAUAAUCUGAGUUGCAGAUGUGGCUCUGAAUUGAAUUACUUAACAAAGUAUGAGGUAUCAAAGAAAAAAGCGAAAACUUUGGAUAUUGAUUUCAUUCCUUUGGAGGUUAGUUGAAGGACACUAUUGAAAGCUUGAAGGAGAAGAGCCUCCUCAGCAUUUGAUUUUGGCUGUCGGAUAAAAAGCAAUGCAAAUAUUACAUUGGCCUUUCAGGUUCAUUGGCUUUAGCUUUCUAUUGGUGUAAGGUAUUAUUGCCCUUCAGAAUUGUCUUUAUUUAAAAAAAGUGAACCCAUACAAUUUGUAAAAUAUAUUAAAAUUUGUAUACAGCUGUAUAUAAACAUAUUACAUGUGUCGCUUGUUUCUGGUAGAUAAAGUUCAUUUCAGGUCUGAUUUCUGAGGAAGUUGCUCUUUUUUUUUAUCUGAUUUCAAGUCUCAUUCCAAAGAAGAAGACACAAGAAAAAGAAAAUGUGUAAUCCACCAAUUCAGAUUUAGUUCAGUCUUUUCAAAGUAUAUUCAGAUUUCAUAGCCAAUUCAUUUAAUGCUGUAUCUGAUUUCUGGUUCUUGUGAUACGCUCUUACAAAAUUCAUUUAAAAUUCAGUACUCUUACACAUUUUGGAAACACAAUUUAUACAAAAACUGAUUUCUCAGGAAAAAAAAGGAAAAUAAUGUUAUUUGCAUUGAAUGAACAAAUGAUUAGCAUAGUAGCAAAACUACUUAAAAUAAGAGAAAUUAGAAACCAAAAAGCAGCACAGCAUGAGUCUGGGCAUUGCAUGUUGGAUGAUCGAAACAGAGGUCUUGAGUGCGAAUCUAGAUCCUGAAAUACGCAGGCCUGCAAAAAGUCAUUCGAAGAAGUGUGCAAAACUCCCAUCAUUCAGCUUUCUUUCUGCUUCCCGCUCAGCAGGAUUACUAUGUACUGAGACAGAUAGGAAACUUAUCCCGGUGAGUUUUUAUUCCGGGAUGUCAAGGGCACAAUGCGCAGCUUAGUGAAUCUCCAUCAUCUUUGCCACAGGUGUAAGUUAUGAAGAUAGUUGCUAGAUGGAGGAUUUUCACACUAGUGAUUAAGCAUCUGUUUCAAGCCAGAAUCAUCAUUAAAUCACAGAUUUGCUUUACAAGCAAUAACUAGAGGGAUUUCAUAUUACAAGUAGAGUCUUUAUAACCUACUGAAUCGCUUAUUUACGAAGACAGAAGAAUAGGAGAGCUCACGUUUUGUUUUUACUGCACAAAUACUGCAUAUGGAAUCUGAGUGAGAAGUUACUCCCUAAAAAUUUCAAAAGUGUUUUUGAGAGGUACCUUUGAGCGAAUCUUCUGGCAACAGACUCAAAGAAGUCAUCCAAUAAGUAGAAAUUCUUCUAUGGAAGGCCACACACAUUAAUAGCAGUUCUUUCAAGGCGAAUUAUGCCAAGCCAAUCAAGGAAUUGCUGCCAUGGCAUGUAGUUGUGGUUUCUUAAUGUGUUCGAGUAACUUCUGCACAAGGAAUCAAAUUAAUCUUUAAAUCCGUGAAAUUAAAAGGGAUGCAGAAUUACAAAACUAAUAAUAAGAACAAUAAUAAUAAGAUGGAUAGAAGCAUGACCUGCCAAUGCAUGAUUUCGGCAAGCCUUUGCUUUGGUUCACCACUUCCCAAUGUAGUAAGAAUUUCAACAGCAUCCCAGAAUUUCAAUAGCAUCCCAAUGAUAACUCAUACUUGAUGAGCCUUGAUGGAGAAAUGAAAGUCCAGUUAAAAUUAUUCAAAAUGCAUAUCCACUCGCCAAGAACAUAUGCACCCAGAAAUCUCCUUAAAUAAAUAAGGUUUUAACAAGGUGAAUGCUUUGCUUUUUCUUUUUUUGGGAAGAACUUCAAAGUAAACAAAGGUAAGACUAUUGGGUUUUGAUGUUUACCUUGUGUGGGAGAAAUGUGAUGUUUACCCAGAAAUCACAUUUUGUUUUCAGAAUAAAUGGUUUUUUCCACCUCUGCAUUUGACAUUGAAAAAACUUGAAUAAAUACCAAAUAAUUAAGAUAUGCUGCUGAUUUAAUUUACAAAGGAAUGGCGCAUGUGAAGAGAAAUUGACAUAUGACAAUCACCUUCAGCACAAUCAAUUCUCAUCCUAAUUUAGAAGACUAAUCAAACUAAUUGCAGCAAUAACAUCUUUUCCACGAAGUCUACUAACUUCUGCACAUAGAGUCAAAAUUAAUCCGUUAUAUCCAUGAAAAGAAUGAAGGCAGAAUUACAUUAAAAAAUGAAUAAAAAUGACGGUUAAAAGAAAGACCUGCCAAUGCAUUUAAAAUCUCUUUGAAUUUGUUUCCCACAUCCCAAUUUAUUAGAAUUUCAGGUGAGUAAAAAACAAAUAAAUGAUUCCUCUAGCUUGAUGAGCCUGUACAUGUGGGAAAAAAGUGUUAAAAUAUUAUCAUAAAGCAAAUAAAUUCUCAAUUAUACAAAAAAUAAAAGAAAGAAAAGGUACUCUGUAUAUUGAUCUUGAUUGUAAAGAAAUAAUGACAAAAGGUACUCUGUAUAUUGAUCUUGAUUGUAAAGAAAUAAUGACAAAAGGAUACUUACGAACUCAAAGGUAAUACACUGCUCAUUUUGGAAGAAACACAUCCAACACUUCAAAACUUAUCCUUCAUUGAUCUGUGUAAAUAGAAUCAUAGAGUGAAGAUUUUCUCAUGUAAGUUUAAUUUGCAAAUUGGAGAGAAAAAGGACCAACUUACCGAAGCUUCAUCAUCCAGUAGAUAGCGGCCCUCUCUUUGAAUUCUUUGGUCAUCAACUUCAAUAUUUGGGAUGUGAGAAAUGAAAGCCCAAUCCGCACCCUUUCUAUUUCCACAUCUUUCCUUCAAUUGGGGACGGUCAUUGAUAUUCAAUUCUCGUAACGAGGUGAGGGAACGCAUCUCUUGAGGCAGACACUUUAUUGCCGGACAAAUCUGAAUGGUUAGUCUUUGAAGACAAGUGAGAUUCCACAGUCCAUCUGGAGGUAGAGAUUCCAGCUCUUCAAUGUCCGUAAUCUGAAGGAUCUUCAAUUUAGAGAGAGGAGGAAUGAUUGAGGAAGAAGAAGAGAUUGAUGGUGUGAAUAUUUGGUGCACAAGUUGUGGGCUUGCGCAGUGCAAAUAUAGUGAAUGAUCGAGAGAUGGAAACUGAGGGAUGGAGUUCAAAUUAGGGCAGUCCCUACAAACGAAAUACGAAAGACAAGGAAAUUGGAGUAGCUCAAGAGCUGUCGAAUCAUCCUUCUUCUUCUGCAAUCCUUUAAGCUUAGGACAACCAUAUAGCACGAGAACCCUUAGGGAUGGAAAGAAUGAUGUUGCUUGUCCCUCAAUCUCAAUGUACUCUAAAUCAUCUACUUCACGAAUAUGUAGAUAUUGAAGAGAAGGGAUUUGAUCCAUUGGUGGGAGAUGCUGAUAUCUAUUGCAAUUCCGUAUACAGAGAUAGACAAGAUUCGUGAGGGAAGAGAACCAACUUGGGAACCUCCUGCCUCCAUUGCCAAGCACACGUAACUCUUUAAGAUUGGGAUGCGGUUGGAGAUUUUGGAAUGCCAUUUCAUCUCUAUCAACAUUUGAAUCUUCCCAACUCUCCUCGCAACGUAAUUCCAAUGAUUGAAGGACUGGUUUCUCUUUCAUAUUAACAUUUACAAUCUCAUUAUCCACACAACCCAGAUUUAUAAUUUCAAGACGUCCCCUCAAAUUCUUAAGCUUAUUCAGUUCAUUUAUUUUUUCAACAUCCUUUGAGGAAAUAUGCCCUUUUGCCACUACGAACAGCGACAACGUCUGAAGUGAAGUCAACUGCCCAAGCCCACGUGGCAUAUGAGUCAAAGAGUAACAACCUUCACAAUAUAAAUGCCUAAGAUUUACAAGCUUUUUAAUAUCUUUAGGCAAUUCUUUGAGCUGGACACAGUAAGAGACAUCUAAUACUUGUAAAUUCAGCAAAUCGGUAAUAGAAUGUGAAAGUGCUUUAAGUCCCUUGUUAUCGGAACGUCAAGAUAUCUUAUAUAUUUUAGCAUUUUUAAAGAAUUAUCCAUCGUUGUAUAUGAAUGCAUCAUAAAUACACGUAAAAAUUUUAAAUUUUUAUAAAUAAAUAGUUGAUCGCAAUCAUAUUUCUCAAGCAAAAGAAGCGAUCGUACUCUUUUUGCGUUAUUAAGAAUUUCUUUUGAUGCAACAUCCAAAUUCAAUGCUACAUGAUGGAUUUUCUCAUUAAUAUUUAGUAUAUCAGAAUUUACUAGCUGAAUCCUCUUCCCACCCACUGUGGUUGCGAGAUCGUGCAUUAAAUCAUGCAUUUUACAGCUCUCUACAUUUCCAUAUCUAUCUCUUUCCACUUCUUGAAAAAAUGACCUCCACCACAGUUUCAUAAAAUAUUCAAGCCUAAUAUCUUCAAGAUAAUCACUCGUACUUGGUGACUCAAUAAACCCUUGUGCAAUCCAAAGAUGGAUUAAUCUUUUCACAUCAAUCACAUAAUCUUUUGGAUAUAUUGCGCAAUAUGCAAAACAAUGCUUCAAAUGUGAUGGGAGAUGAUCAUAACUUAGCUUCAGUGUUGGCAUAAUAUCAUUACCAUCUUGACUUAUUCUUGAGAGUUCUUUUGUUAAAAAGGGCAGCCACUCAGUUUCUGGAUUUUUCGCAUACAAGAGACUUGCGAUGGUUUUUAUUGCAAGAGGAACUCUAUGACAUUUCUUCAAAAUCUCCUUUCCCAUCUCUCUUACAUUUGCAUGUUUUGGCUCCUGCCCCUCAAGUGCUACAUGCAAAAACAAAGACCAAGACUCAUCCGGAGACAACCCUUCCAAAACAUGUGGUGCCAUUGUGCUAGAUAUAUCUGCCACCUUUUUAGAGCGAGUGGUUAUUAAUAUCUUACUUCCACUAGAGCCACCCACUAAUAAUCUCUUUAAAUUCUCCCAUUUUUCUCUAUUCUCAUUCCACACAUCAUCUAGAACAAGCAGAUAUUUCUUCCCACUAAUAAUUUUUUCCAGUCUAGACUUCAAUGCUUCUAACCCAAGAUCUUCCGGUCUAUUCCCUGUUGCAGACUCUAGAAUCUUUCCAACAGUCAUUUUCACAUCAAAAGGUUCUGAAACACACACCCAUAUUCUUGGCUCAAAUGAAUUCUUAAUCAAUUCAUCAUUGAAUAUGAUUUGAGCAAGAGUGGUCUUCCCUAAUCCUCCAAUUCCAACAAUUGAGAGGACUGAAACACACUCUUCACCAUUGGAAGACAAUACAAGUUCUGUAAUUGCCUUUUUGUCACCCUCUCUCCCAAUAACCACUUCAGGUAAAGAGGACGUAGUUUGAUCCCUCCAUACAAUACUCUCCUGAUCCGUACGAAACUCUAAAUUAAAUUUUCUGUCAGCUUCAAUAUCAGCUAGCCUCUCCCUAAUCUCCUUAACUUUAUGACCCAUUUUAAAACCAUAAACAAGUUGAUUUGAAGACGAAAAGAAGAGACUUACCUCCUUUGUCAUUCUAUUUCCAGUCAUCACUCGGCGCCUUAGAGCUUCUGUGGCGAAGUCAUCUACCAAGUCAUCAGCAUCAUAAACAACUUCUUCUAGCCUCUCAAGCCAGCCUUUCACUUGACGGUUAAGUUUCUGCUGCUCCUCAGCAUCCAGAAGAACGUUGCGAAUACUAGAAACUGUGGCCUCAAGUUUCUUAAGCUCACCUUUGACGCCCCACCACAAUCCGAUCUCAUGAAGGGCUCGAGAACCCAGCUUGGUAAUGAUAUCUCCGACAACGUUAGAGAGAACUCCGUCGGCCAUUUUGGGCGUUUUGGUUUGAUUGUAAAAGGAUGAAAUGUUGCUGUGAAGAAGAAGACGGUGACAACAAAUGACUGAUUUAAAGAAAAAAAAAGAAGUGGAGGAAAAAGCAUUCUUCUAAAUGAUUAUCUUCGGUCGGUCAACUUUGAACGGCGCUGGUUUGCUUUUUAAAUAAUAUAUUAAUACAUUUAUAUAUAUACAGAUGGAAAGAAAGUUAUUUUUUAAAAAAUAAUUUUAUUUUUUAUUAGAAAUGCAUUUUUUUUAAUUAAAUUUGAUGAGUGAUUCAAAUAUUAAAAAAUAUAAAAUAUAUAUAUACAGAUGGAAAGAAAGUUAUUUUUUAAAAAAUAAUUUAAUUUUUAAUAGAAAUGUAUUUUUUUUAAUUAAAUUUGAUGAGUGAUUCAAUUAUUAAAAAAUAUAAAAUAUAUUUUCGAUAUUGCUGAGAUUAAAUUGAUGUUGUAGUCGGAAUGAAACUGUACUAUAAUUGGUUAGAAUUUAUAAGAGAGGAAAUAUGAGAUAGUGGUGGGUACCUAUAGCAGCAAGGCAGUGAUGAGUACCUAUGACAGCUACUGUGACGCUAAAGUCAGUAUUUUGAAAAAUAGAAAAAAUUUAAUGAAUAACUUAGAGUUUGAGUAGUAUCAUAGAUAAUGUACCUUUAUCUUCGUAAUCGUUCUCCUUUUAUACUAUGAGAAAAUGUAUAUAAAUAUAUCAUGAAACAACAGGGCCUAAACUGGUCCAAAUAACUUUUGGACUCACUUUUCACUUGACCCAAAAUGGUUAAUUCAGGUUAUUUAGUAGUUUCGUGCUAGCUAUUAUAUACAAUUCCAAAAUCUCCCGAUGUGGGACAGCUUUCGCAGCGGAAGCGAACAGCUGACCAUUACACUCGAUCCCGCUAAAUUUGCGACGUCCUCGUCGCAGUUGAAUUGGAUACAAUUGCUAAUUAGGACCGAACCCUUAGGUAUUGUGGUUCGCUAGUACGUCGGGCGGCUCCACCUCGUCUCACACGGGUAGCUCUUUCCUUACAGGCUCACUAGCUCUACAUAAUUUGUUUGAUCUAGAGUGGCUCUAAUACCAAUUGAAACAGUCAGGUCCAAACUUGCUCAAAUAACUUUUGGACCCACUUUCUACUUUGCCCAAAAUAGUUAAUCUAAGUUAUUUAGUAGUUUUGUGCUACCUAUUAUAUACAAUUCCGAUUUUCUAUAAUCUCCCGGUGUGGGACGGCUUCCGCAGUGGAAGCAGGUAGCUGACCGUUGCACUUGGUCCCGCUAAAUUUGCGACGUCCUCGUCGCAACUGAAUCGGAUACAAUUGCUAACCAGGAUCGAACCCUUAGGUAUUGUAGUUCGCUAGUACCUCGAGCGGCUCCACCUCGUCUCACACGGGUAGCCCUUUCCUCGUAGGCCCACUAGCACAAUUUGUAUCUAGGGUGGCUCUAAUACCAAUUGAAACAGUCGGGUCCAAACUGGCCCAAAUAACUUUUGGACCCACUUUCCACUUGUCCCAAAAUGGUUAACUCAAGUUAUUUAAUAGUUUCGUGCUAACUAUUAUAUACAAUUUCGAUUUUCUAUAAUCUCCCAAUGUGGGACAGCUUCCGCAGCGGAAACAGGUAGCUGAUCGUUAUAAUCGGUCUCGCUAAAUUUGCGAUGUCCUCGUCGCAACUGAAUUUGAUACAAUUGCUAACCAAGACCGAACCUUUAGGUACUGUGGUUCGCUAGUACCUCUGGCGGCUCCACCUCAUCUAACACGGGUAGCUCUUUCCUCGCAGGCCCACUAGCUCUGCACAAUUUGUCUAACUCAGGGUGGCUCUGAUACCAAUUAAAAUAGUCGGGCCUAACCUGCCCCCAAAGGUUUGACUUUUGAAUCUGUGAGCGGACUUUAGGCCGUCGAACCUGCUGCCGAAAGUGCCCUGUCCAGCCUUUUUCAGCUUGCUUCCUACGUGUGUUCUUCUAUGUUCUUAGGGGGUAGUUUUAAGUGUUGUAAAAGUUAUAUUUGGUUCCUCAUUUAAGUCCAUCUGUGUAGGAUCGGACUUGGAAGAUCGUAGAAACUUGCAGUAAGAUAACUGUAUCAAAAUUAGGCGUGCGUCAGCCAGAGGUGAGUAGAACUAAACUCAAUUAUUAUUUUAAAAAAACCAAAUGUUUUAAGCAUACUUAUGCAUCACAAAUGCUAUGUAUAUAUAUGAUUAUGGUGCUUUGCAUUAGAAUUCACGAAUAUAAUGCAUUGCAUAAUUUAUUAUUGUUGUUGAUGUAUGUUAGAUGACCUUCUAGCCCUCAAGUAUGUUAUGGUAUGUUAUGACGGAUAUGGAAAGAGCAGGACUUGCUCAUUCUACGCCCUUGGCACUGUGUAAGGGAAAGACCAGGGUUACACAUUUUAUAUCCGUGGCACUAUGGAUAUGUUAUUUUAUGUUUAAGAGGAAAUUCUGAAAAGCGCUUGUCGUGGGCUGGGCACUAUUGGAAUCUAUAGAGAGUCACUGGUGACAAGUCUAUCUUGAUAUGAAUUGUUUGUGUUGUGACACAUUUAUACGAUCAUAUGUCUUAUUAAACUGCUUUUGUUAUGUUUCUGCUCACUAGCCUCUUAUAGUUUAUCCCUUUUCCCUAACUCCAGAUUUGCAGGAUCAGAAUUAGCUCGAGAGGUGGGCCGAGGUGUUGGUAUAGUCCAUUGUAAUAACAUAGUUGUGGACAUGUAUUAAUUUGUGAAUUUGAAUUGUGUUUUGCGUGAGUUUUCUUUAUAAUCCUUAUUUUAUGAUUUUUUUAUGUAAAAGAUUUUAAGUCUAAAUUAUGUUUGAACUAAGCUUGAGGUGUGUAAUAUUGACUAUACUAAAACAUUUGAUGAGAGCUCUAGUAUGAAUUUAUGUUUCCAGUUCUGAUACAUGCGCAGGUCAAGUUUUUGUUAUUGAAAUAGAAGUGUUUUUACAUGUUUGUGUGAUUAUGUAUGGAUCUAUAUCAAAUGUAACAGGAUGUAUAGUAAAUUUGCUAUGAGUUCCGGCAACCUUAGAUUGAUCUGAACCGUAGUGCCGAUAGCGGUCUGAGUUGCAGAUGUGGCUCCGAAUUGAAUUAUUUAACAAAGUAUGGGGUAUCAAAGGAAAAAAGUGAAAACUUUGGGUAUUGACUUCAUUCCUUUGGAGGUUAGUCUGAAGGACACUAUUGAAAGCUUGAAGGAUAAGGGCUUCCUCAGCAUUUAAUAUUGGCUGUUGGAUAAAAAGCAAUGCAAAUAUUACAUUGGCUUUUCAGGUUCAUUGGCUUUAGCUUCCUAUUGGUGCAAGAUAUUAUUACCCUUCAGGAUUGUCUUUAUUUGAAAAAAGUGGACCAAUACAAUUUGUAAAAUACAUAACAAUUUGUAUACAACUGUAUAUAAACAUAUUACAUGUGUCACUUGUUUCACUGGUGGAUGAAGUUCAUUUCAGGUCUGAUUUCUGAGGAAGUUACUCUUUUUUUUAUCUGAUUUCAGGUCUCAUUCCAAAGAAUAAGACACAAGAAAAAGAAAAUGUGUAAUCCACCAAUUCAGAUUUAGUUCAGUCUUUUCAAAGUAUAUUCAGAUUUCAUAGCCAACUCAUUUUAUGCUGUAUCUGAUUUCUGGUUCUUGUGAUAUGCUCUUACAAAAUUCAUCUAAAAUUCAGUGCUCUUACACAUUCUGGAAACAACAAUUUAUACAAAAACUGAUUUCUCAGGGAAAAAAAGGAAAAUAAUGUUAUUUGCAUUGAAUGAACAAAUGAUUAGCAUAGUAGCAAAACUACUUAAAAUAAGAGAAAUUAGAAACAAAAAAGCAGCACAGCAUGAGUCUGGGCAUUGCAUGUUGGAUGAUCGAAACAGAGGUGUUGAGUGAGAAUCUAGAUCCUGAAAUACGCGGGCCUGCAAAAAGUCAUUCGAAGAAGUGUGCAAAACUCCCAUCAUUCAGCUUUCAUUUCUGCUUCCGGCUUAGCAGGAUUACUAUGUACUGAGUUGUUUUCUGAACUGUGACAGAUAGGAAACUUAUCCCGGUGAGAUUUUAUUCCGGAAUGUCAAGGGCACAAUGCGUAGCUUAGUGAAUCUCCAUCAUCUUUGCCGCAGGUGUAAGUUAUGAAGAUAAUUGCUAGAUGGAGGAUUUUCACACUAGUAAUUUAGCAUCUGUUUCAAGCCAGAAUCAUCAUUAAAUCACAGAUUUGCUUUACAAGCAAUAACUAGGGGGAUUUCAUAUUACAAGUAGUCUUUAUAACUUACUGAAUCGCUUAUUUUUGAAGACAGAGGAUGAGGAGAGCUCACGUUUUGUUUUUACUGCACAAAUACUGCAUAUGGAAUCUGAGUGAGGAGUUACUCUCUAAAAAUUUCAAAAGUGUUUUUGAGAGGUACCUUUGCGUGAAUCUUCUGGCAACAGACUCAAAGUAGUCAUCCAAUAAGUAGAAAUUCUUCUAUGGAAGGCCACACACAUUAAUAGCAGUUCUUUCAAGGCGAAUUAUGCCAAGCCAAUCAAGGAAUUGCUGCCAUGGCAUGUAGUUGUGGUUUCUUAAUGUGUUCGAGUAACUUCUGCACAAGGAAUCAAAUUAAUCUUUAAAUCCGUGAAAUUAAAAGGGAUGCAGAAUUACAAAACUAAUAAUAAUAACAAUAAUAAUAAGAUGGAUAGAAGCAUGACCUGCCAAUGCAUGAUUUCGGCAAGCCUUUGCAUUGGUUCACCACUUCCCAAUGUAGUAAGAAUUUCAACAGCAUCCCAGAAUUUCAAUAGCAUCCCAAUGAUAACUCAUACUUGAUGAGCCUUGAUGGAGAAAUGAAAGUCCAGUUAAAAUUAUUCAAAAUGCAUAUCCACUCGCCAAGAACAUAUGCACCCAGAAAUCUCCUUAAAUAAAUAAGGUUUUAACAAGGUGAAUGCUUUGCUUUUUCUUUUUUUGGGAAGAACUUCAAAGUUAACAAAGGUAAGACUAUUGAGUUUUGAUGUUUACCUUGUGUGGGAGAAAUAUGAUGUUUACCCAGAAAUCACAUUUUGUUUUCAGAAUAAAUGGUUUUUUCCACCUCUGCAUUUGACAUUGAAAAAACUUAAAUAAAUACCAAACAAUUAAGAUAUGCUGCUGAUUUAAUUUACAAAGGAAUGGUGCAUGUGAAGAGAAAUUGACAUAUGACAAUCACCUUCAGCACAAUCAAUUCUCAUCCUAAUUUAGAAGACUAAUCAAACUAAUUGCAACAAUAACAUCUUCUCCACGACGUCUACUACCUUCCGCACAUAGAGUCAAAAUUAAUCCGUUAUAUCCAUGAAAAGAAUGAAGGCAGAAUUACAUUAAAAAAUGAAUAAAAAUGAUGGCUAAAAGAAAGACCUGCCAAUGCAUUUAAGAUCUCUUUGAAUUUGUUUCCCACAUCCCAAUUUAUUAGAAUUUCAGGUGACUAAAAAACAAAUAAAUGAUUCCUCUAGCUUGAUGAGCCUGCAUAUGUGGGAAAAAAGUGUUAAAAUAUUAUCAUAAAGCAAAUAAAUUCUCAAUUAUAAAAAAAAAAAUAAAAGAAAAAAAAAGGUACUCUGUAUAUUGAUAUUGAUUGUAAAGAAAUAAUGACAAAAGGAUACUUACGACUCAAAGGUAAUACACUGCUCAUUUUGGAAGAAACACAUCCAACACUUCAAAACUUAUCCUUCAUUGAUCUGUGUAAAUAGAAUCAUAGAGUGAAGAUUUUCUCAUGUAAGUUUAAUUUGCAAAUUGGAGAGAAAAAGGACCAACUUACCGAAGCUUCAUCAUCCAGUAGAUAGCGGCCCUCUCUUUGAAUUCUUUGGUCAUCAACUUCAAUAUUUGGGAUGUGAGAAAUGAAAGCCCAAUCCGCACCCUCUCUAUUUCCACAUCUUUCCUUCAAUUGGGGACAGUCAUUGAUAUUCAAUUCUCGUAACGAGGUGAGGGAACGCAUCUCUUGAGGCAGACACUUUAUUGCCGGACAAAUGUCAAUGGUUAGUCUUUGAAGACAAGCGAGAUUCCGCAGUCCAUCUGGAGGUAGAGAUUCGAGCUCUUAAAUAUUUUAACAUUUUUAUAGAAUUAUCCAUCGUUCUUCUAUAUGAAUAUAUAGUAAAUACACGCAAAAAUUUUAAAUUUUUAUAAAUAAAUAGCUGAUUGACAUCAUGUUUCUUAAACAAAAGAAUCGAUCGUACUCUUUUAGCAUUGUUAAGAAUUUCUUGUGGUGCAACAUCUAAAUUCAAUGCUACAUGAUGGGUUUUCUCAUCAAUAUUUGGUGUAUUAAAAUUUACUAGCUGAAUCCUCUUCUCAUCCACUCUAGUUGCGAGAUUGUGCAUUAAAUCAUGCAUUUUACAGCUUUCGACAUUUCCACAUCUAUCUCUUUUCACCUCUUGAAAAAAUGACCUCCACCACAGUUUCAUAAAAUAUUCAAGCCCAAUAUCUUCAAGACAAUCACUGGUACCUGGUGACUCAAUAAACCCUUGUGCAACCCAAAAAUGGAUUAAUGUUUUCACAUCAAUCACAUAAUCUUUUGGAUAUAUUGCGCAAUAUGCAAAACAAUGCUUCAAAUGUGAUGGGAGAUGAUCAUAGCUUAGUUUCAGUGUUGGCAUAAUAUCAUUACCAUCUUGACUUAUUCUUGAGAGUUCUUUUCUCAAAAAGGGCAGCCACUCAGUUUCUGGAUUUUUCGCAUACAAGAGACUUGCGAUAGUUUUUAUUGCAAGAGGAACUCCAUGACAUUUCUUCAGAAUCUCCUUUCCCUUCUCUCUUACAUUUGCAUGUUUUGGCUCCUGCCCCUCAAGUGCUACAUGCAAAAACAAAGACCAAGACUCCACCACAGAUAAGCCUUCCAAAACAUGUGGUGCUAUUGUGCCAGAUAUAUCUGCCACCUUUUUAGAGCGAGUGGUUAUUAAUAUCUUACUUCCACUAGAGCCACCCACUAAUAAUCUCUUUAAAUUCUGCCAUGUUUUUCUAUUCUCAUUCCACACAUCAUCUAGAACAAGCAGAUAUUUCUUCCCACAAAUAAUUUUUUCCAGUCUAGACUUCAAUGCUUCUAACUCAAGAUCUUCCGAUUUAUUCCCUGUUGCAGACUCUAGAAUCUUUCCAACAGUCAUUUUCACAUCAAAAGGUUCUGAAACACACACCCAUAUUCUUGGCUCAAAUGAAUUCUUAAUCAAUUCAUCAUUCAAUAUGAUUUGAGCAAGAGUGGUCUUCCCUAAUCCUCCAAUUCCAACAAUUGAGAGGACUGAAACACACUCUUCACCAUUGGAAGACAAUACAAGUUCUGUAAUUGCCUUUUUGUCACCCUCUCUCCCAAUAAUCACUUCAGGUAAAGAGGACGUAGUUUGAUCCCUCCAUACAAUACUCUCCUGAUCAGUACGAACCUCUAAAUUAAAUUUUCUGUCAGCUUCAAUAUCAGCUAGCCUCUCCCUAAUCGCCUUAACUUUAUGACCCAUUUUAAAACCAUAAACAAGUUGAUUUGAAGAUGAAAAGAAGAGACUUACCUCCUUUGUCAUUCUAUUUCCAGUCAUCACUCGGCGCCUUAGAGCUUCUGUGGCGAAGUCAUCUACCAAGUCAUCAGCAUCAUAAACAACUUCUUCUAGCCUCUCAAGCCAGCCUUUCACUUGACGGUUAAGUUUCUGCUGCUCCUCGGCAUCCAGAAGAACAUUGCGAAUACUAGAAACUGUGGCCUCAAGUUUCUUAAGCUCACCUUUGACGCCCCACCACAAUCCGAUCUCAUGAAGGGCUCGAGAACCCAGCUUGGUAAUGAUAUCUCC